CUGGAUUGGUUAUGUGCUCCUGGGAGCAUCAGGCCAUGGCUGCUUUGAGUUCGAUCAUGGCUCAGACGCUGGCGAGAUCACUUUACACAUGCAAGUCGAACGGCAGCACGGACUUCGGUCUGGUGGCGAGUGGCGAACGGGUGAGUAAUGUAUCGGAACGUGCCUAAUAGCGGGGGAUAACUACGCGAAAGCGUAGCUAGCCAUACGCCCUUCGGGGAAAGCGGAACCUUCGGGCCUCGCACUAUUAAACGGCGAUAUCGGAUUAGCUAGUUGGUGGGGUAACGGCUCACCAAGGCGACGAUCCAGUAGCUGGUUUAGAGGACGACCAGCCACACUGGGACUGAGACGGCCCAGACUCCUACAGGAGGCAGCAGUGGGGAGUACACGGACAAUGGAAGCCCUGAUCCAGCUACAUCCGCAUCGUGCGACUAGGGCGCGCUUCGGGUUGCCAAAGCCGCUUUUGGCAGGAAAGAAACGGCACGGGAUAAUACCCCGUGCAACUGACAGUACCUGCAGAAUAAGCACCGGCUAACUACGUGCCAGCAGCCGCGGUAUGCAUGGGUGCAAGCGUUAAUCGGAAUUACUGGGCGUAAAGCGUGCGAGCGGUUCGGAAAGAAAGAUGUGAAAUCCCAGAGCUUAACUUUGGAACUGCAUUUAACUACCGAGCUAGAGUGUGUCAGAGGUGGAAUUCCGCGUGUAGCGGUGAAAUGCGUAGAUAUGCGGAGGAACACCGAUGGCGAAGGCAACCUCCUGGGAUAACGCGACGCUCCUUGCACGAAAGCGUGGGGGCAAAACAGGAUUAGAUACCCUGGUAGUCCACGCCCUAAACGAUGUCAACUGGCUAUUUUGGGGCCUUCCAGGCCUUGGUGGCCCGCAGCAACUAACGCGUAAGAGUUCCGCCUGGGAAAUACGGUCGCAAGAUUAAAACUCAAAGGAAUUGACGGGGACACGCACAAGCGGUGGAUGAUGUGGAUUAAUUCGAUGCAACGCGAAAAAACCUUACCUACCCUUGACAUACGGAAUCCCGAAGAGAUUUGGGAGUGCUCGCAAGAGAACCCGGAACACAGGUGCUGCAUGGCGAUCAGCUCGUGUCGACGAGAUGUUGGGUUAAGUCCCGCAACAGGCGCAACCCUUGUCGUGGUUGCUACGAAGGGCAUAAUGAGACUGCCGGUGACAAACCGGAGGAAGGUGAGAGGGAUGACGUCAAGUCCUCAUAGCCCUUAUGGGUGGGGCUUCACACGUCAUACAAUGGUCGGGACAGAGGGCCAGCCAACCCGCGAGGGGAGCCAAUCCCAGAAACCCGAUCGUAGUCCGGAUCGCAGUCUGCAACUCGACUGCGUGAAGUCGGAAUCGCUAGUAAUCGCCCGGAUCAGCAUGUCGCAGUGAAUACGUUCGGGUCUGUACACACCGCCCGUCACACCAUGGGAGUGGGUUUUACAGAAGUAGUUAGCCUAACCGUAAGGAGGCGAUUACCACGGUAAGUUCAUGACUGGGGGUGAAGUCGUAACGAAUGA
This 1514-nucleotide ribosomal RNA is filed under the name uncultured Bordetella sp. RNAcentral's name for it is "partial 16S-23S ribosomal RNA intergenic spacer". It matches the Rfam family "Bacterial small subunit ribosomal RNA". Lineage: Bacteria; Pseudomonadati; Pseudomonadota; Betaproteobacteria; Burkholderiales; Alcaligenaceae. The record is from RNAcentral.